This 435-nucleotide ribosomal RNA is filed under the name Actinobacillus equuli. RNAcentral describes it as "bacterial SSU rRNA". It matches the Rfam family "Bacterial small subunit ribosomal RNA", at positions 62 to 486 of the family's 1533-position model. The record is from RNAcentral. Lineage: Bacteria; Pseudomonadati; Pseudomonadota; Gammaproteobacteria; Pasteurellales; Pasteurellaceae.
UCGAACGGUAGCACGAAGGAGCUUGCUCCUUGGGUGACGAGUGGCGGACGGGUGAGUAAUGCUUGGGAAUCUGGCUUAUGGAGGGGGAUAACUACGGGAAACUGUAGCUAAUACCGCGUAAUAUCUUCGGAUUAAAGUGUGGGACCGCAAGGCCACAUGCCAUGAGAUGAGCCCAAGUGGGAUUAGGUAGUUGGUGGGGUAAAGGCCUACCAAGCCGACGAUCUCUAGCUGGUCUGAGAGGAUGACCAGCCACACUGGAACUGAGACACGGUCCAGACUCCUACGGGAGGCAGCAGUGGGGAAUAUUGCACAAUGGGGGGAACCCUGAUGCAGCCAUGCCGCGUGAAUGAAGAAGGCCUUCGGGUUGUAAAGUUCUUUCGGUAGCGAGGAAGGUAUCAAAUUUAAUAGAUUUGGUAAUUGACGUUAACUACAGAA